UAAUAAUGCCAAACUUAGAUUUCUUUCUUCAAUGAGUAACCCAUCAAGUCACUUCUCACUGUAUCUCAACCAACCAUAUCAGAAAAGAACCAUGCAACAUCUACCCUUUAACCAUUUAUCAUAAAGAUUAGUUUCUAUUAAAAUUCAUUCCCACCUAUAUUCUUGUUCCAACUUCCUCUCACUGCAACCCUAUCUUUCUUUCAUGUAUAACUAAAAGAAACGUAUGAAUCAAUACUCUGUAAAUCACCGAACCAUCAAAUAAACAACUUUCAGUCACCCAACCCUCUUCUUAUUCUCUUUCGUCUUUCUUUGAUUUUUAAUAUUAUCCUAGAAGUUCACGAAAUAAACCAAACGCAACCCACUCCCAUCCUAUGCACGUACUCUAAACCUAAUUCCUUCUUCAAUUUCUAUUUUACAGUACAACAUACCUAUACCCUAUUCUCUUCACUCUUCAUUAAUCCCAGGCAUAAAACUAACCCUUUUCUCUCCUAUGUAUAUGAAUAUUACACUUUCUUUCCUACCAUAAUUUAUCUAAACCCUUCCUCUGCAACGUUCCUAAAUCCUCUCUACGACUAUUUUAAAUUUCAAUACUAUAAACUCCCACCAUCCACCAUACUUCUUCUCUUUUUCUUUUCGUUCUCUACUUCCACAAACCAUUCUCCUUACGUAUACUCUAGAGACCAACUGGAACAGCAAACACUAUACCAAAAUCAUCACUCAACAUAAUUCAAAGUUACUUAUUCAAAACUGUUGUACAUACAGGUCUUAAAUAUGAACCCACAACUAAACUAGAAUCUUCAUUACACUACCCAAUAUCAGUCACUGCAUAUUUACUUCUUGCAUGUAUUAAUCUUCUAAACGUAAGUUAAAUACAGCACCCGAGAACAACAUAUAUGAUCAACCAAAAAAAAUUAGAGUACCAUUAAUAACUAUCAUCCUGUACCAAAGAACUUAAAUUUCCCAGACUAGAAUCGAAAUUCACAUGCAUGCUUAAGCUAUUUUUGCAUUCAGUUUAAACUUAAAGAAGACAGAAAAAGUAGAAUUCUGUCCUAUACCAAUACAAGCAUACGAUUUUUCGUCAGACUAUCUUCGACCUAGCCAAUAACAACAGAUAAAAUUCAUCAAAGAACCCGGAACAACCCAAAAACAAAUAUAAUCCAAACAGUAUCAUAUGCACAAUUAACCACCCAUGCUUUGUGAAGUCGCAAUUCGUAAAACAUAAAACAAGUUCAGCUUCUCUUACCUUAGAUAAAUCCUAGCUUUCUUUCUUUGCCCAAGAUUGAGAACCCAAAACUUUCACCUCCUUCACGUUACCGUUCUUGCUUCCAAGAAAACUCCAAAAUACUCUUUUGAUUUUUACUAUCUCCUACUACACACACUACUUUAUCCUCUUUUCGUUAAACUUUACAUUCCCCCAAUUUUUCCAGAGCCCCUCCCUUAAAUAAACCACCCAAUCCACUAACCCCUAUUUGUUGCCUUUCUUUUCGGGAAGUGGUUCCAAAACUCACCUAAGAUAUUUUAAUUAUACUGUUACCCAAAUUUUAAAAUGAGCUAAGUGGCCCUACAAUAAAUAUUUAAAAUAUA
Molecule: long non-coding RNA, 1584 nt
Filed under: Vigna radiata
Lineage: Eukaryota; Viridiplantae; Streptophyta; Magnoliopsida; Fabales; Fabaceae
Description: long non-coding RNA (VRAD_LNC008611)
Source: RNAcentral